RNAcentral lists this ribosomal RNA (468 nucleotides) under uncultured bacterium. RNAcentral describes it as "partial 16S ribosomal RNA". It matches the Rfam family "Bacterial small subunit ribosomal RNA", at positions 28 to 507 of the family's 1533-position model. The record is from RNAcentral.
GACGAACGCUGGCGGCGUGCUUAACACAUGCAAGUCGAACGGAAAGGCCCUGCUUUUGUGGGGUGCUCGAGUGGCGAACGGGUGAGUAACACGUGAGUAACCUGCCCUUGACUUUGGGAUAACUUCAGGAAACUGGGGCUAAUACCGGAUAGGAGCUCCUGCUGCAUGGUGGGGGUUGGAAAGUUUCGGCGGUUGGGGAUGGACUCGCGGCUUAUCAGCUUGUUGGUGGGGUAGUGGCUUACCAAGGCUUUGACGGGUAGCCGGCCUGAGAGGGUGACCGGGCACCUUGGGACUGAGAGACGGCCCAGACUCCUACCGGAGGCAGCAGUGGGGAAUAUUGCACAAUGGGCGGGAGCCUGAUGCAGCAACGCCGCGUGCGUGAUGACGGCCUUCGGGUUGUAAACCGCUUUCGCCUGUGACGAAGCGUGAGUGACGGUAAUGGGUAAAGAAGCACCGGCUAACUACGUG